UAACGUCAGUUCUCAAAUCUAAGAUUAAUUCAUCAAAAGACAGAAUAAAUCCAUAUGAUAAUUAUACAUUGUGAAAUAAGGGCAAAGUGUUUAAGAUCGAUGAAUUUGAAUCAUUUGCCCCUCACCAAUAUGGGUUUGAAACCUCGCCUGAGGUAUAGACAUCUUCCUUUUAAGAAAUCAUUUAGCUGGUUCCACUCAAGUGCCCACACAUGCCUGGAACAUUACUUGGAAGGGCACAUUAUGUGAUUCUCCAUUAUUAAAAACUAAAAAACUCGCCGUAUGACCUAAAUUGUGUCGAUGUGACAAUAAAACUUGCAGAUUGUGCAGAUCCUCCAGAAGCAAAUGCAAAUUCAGCCCGAACAUUCAAUGCCACAACAGAAAAGUCAAAAGCAAUAUACAAGUGUAAUACAGGCUACUCUAAAGCUGCCGGGGAUGACGUACUAAUUUGUGGGAUUGGUGGGAAAUGGAUCGGCACCGUACCGAUCUGUGUUGUUGAAUUCAGACCAAAUCAGAACUGGAAUCCCGUAAUUAUUGGCGGUGCUAUCGUUGGCUGGUUGUGUCUUGUAGUAUUUGUUGUGGUUGCUUUUGUCCUUGUAAUUAGAAGAUAUACGUCUUGCAAAGUUUGCAAGCGCACAGACAAUCAAGCAGUAAAUCAUGUGAAGGAGAAUGGGUAAUAAUUGUCUUUCCUUUAUGCAGAAUAUGGCCCAAAUAAGCGCCU
Long non-coding RNA from Mercenaria mercenaria, 718 nucleotides. RefSeq lists it as uncharacterized. NCBI's taxonomy places the organism in Eukaryota, Metazoa, Mollusca, Bivalvia, Venerida, Veneridae. The transcript is spliced from 3 exons. The record is from RefSeq and is a predicted model, not a curated record.